AUUGAACGCUGGCGGCAGGCCUAACACAUGCAAGUCGAGCGGAUGAAGGGAGCUUGCUCCUGGAUUCAGCGGCGGACGGGUGAGUAAUGCCUAGGAAUCUACCUGGUAGUGGGGGAUAACGUCCGGAAACGGGCGCUAAUACCGCAUACGUCCUGAGGGAGAAAGUGGGGGAUCUUCGGACCUCACGCUAUCAGAUGAGCCUAGGUCGGAUUAGCUAGUUGGUGGGGUAAAGGCCUACCAAGGCGACGAUCCGUAACUGGUCUGAGAGGAUGAUCAGUCACACUGGAACUGAGACACGGUCCAGACUCCUACGGGAGGCGGCAGUGGGGAAUAUUGGACAAUGGGCGAAAGCCUGAUCCAGCCAUGCCGCGUGUGUGAAGAAGGUCUUCGGAUUGUAAAGCACUUUAAGUUGGGAGGAAGGGCAGUAAGUUAAUACCUUGCUGUUUUGACGUUACCAACAGAAUAAGCACCGGCUAACUUCGUG
Molecule: ribosomal RNA, 484 nt
Filed under: uncultured bacterium
Lineage: Bacteria
Description: partial 16S ribosomal RNA
Rfam family: Bacterial small subunit ribosomal RNA
Source: RNAcentral